GACGAACGCUGGCGGCGUGCCUAAUACAUGCAAGUCGAGCGAAGUUUUUCUGGUGCUUGCACUAGAAAAACUUAGCGGCGAACGGGUGAGUAACACGUAAAGAACCUGCCUCAUAGACUGGGACAACUAUUGGAAACGAUAGCUAAUACCGGAUAACAGUAUUUCUCGCAUGAGAGAUAUUUAAAAGUUGGUUAUGCUAACACUAUGAGAUGGCUUUGCGGUGCAUUAGCUAGUUGGUGGGGUAAAGGCCCACCAAGGCGACGAUGCAUAGCCGACCUGUGUGGGUGAUCGGCCACACUGGGACUGAGACACGGCCCAGACUCCUACGGGAGGCAGCAGUAGGGAAUCUUCCGCAAUGGGCGAAAGCCUGACGGAGCAACGCCGCGUGAGUGAAGAAGGAUUUCGGUUCGUAAAGCUCUGUUGUUAGGGAAGAAUGGAUAUGUAGUAACUAUACAUGUAAGAGACGGUACCUAACCAGAAAGCCACGGCUAACUACGUG
This 499-nucleotide ribosomal RNA is filed under the name uncultured bacterium. Its description in RNAcentral is "partial 16S ribosomal RNA". It matches the Rfam family "Bacterial small subunit ribosomal RNA", at positions 28 to 507 of the family's 1533-position model. The record is from RNAcentral.